RNAcentral lists this ribosomal RNA (509 nucleotides) under uncultured bacterium. RNAcentral's name for it is "partial 16S ribosomal RNA". It matches the Rfam family "Bacterial small subunit ribosomal RNA", at positions 28 to 507 of the family's 1533-position model. The record is from RNAcentral.
GACGAACGCUGGCGGCGUGCUUAACACAUGCAAGUCGAACGAAGAGCGAUGGAAGCUUGCUUCUAUCAAUCUUAGUGGCGAACGGGUGAGUAACGCGUAAUCAACCUGCCCUUCAGAGGGGGACAACAGUUGGAAACGACUGCUAAUACCGCAUACGAUCUAAUCUCGGCAUCGAGGAUAGAUGAAAGGUGGCCUCUACAUGUAAGCUAUCACUGAAGGAGGGGAUUGCGUCUGAUUAGCUAGUUGGAGGGGUAACGGCCCACCAAGGCGAUGAUCAGUAGCCGGUCUGAGAGGAUGACCGGCAACAUUGGAACUGAGACACGGCCCAGACUCCUACGGGAGGCAGCAGUGGGGAAUCUUCGGCAAUGAACGAAAGCCUGACGGAGCAAGGCCGCGUGGGUGAUGACGGCCUUCGGGUUGUAAAGCUCUGUUAUUGGGAACGAAGGGCCUUCUGGCAAUAGGUGGGAGGGAUGACGGUACCGGAAGAGAAAGCCACGGCUAACUACGUG